This 2001-nucleotide ribosomal RNA is filed under the name human gut metagenome. RNAcentral describes it as "bacterial LSU rRNA". It matches the Rfam family "Bacterial large subunit ribosomal RNA", at positions 1 to 2007 of the family's 2925-position model. The record is from RNAcentral.
UUAAUUUAAUAAGGGCGCAUGGCGGAUGCCUUGGCAUUAGAAGACGAUGAAGGACGCGACAAACAGCGAUAUGCUUCGGGGAGCAGUAAGUACGCUUCGAUCCGGAGAUCUCCGAAUGAGGAAACUCACUAGUGGUAAUGCACUAGUAUCAUUAACUGAAUACAUAGGUUAAUGAGGACAACCCAGUGAACUGAAACAUCUUAGUAACUGGAGGAAAAGAAAGAAAAAUCGAUUACCUUAGUAGUGGCGAGCGAAACGGUAACAGCCCAAACCAGUCUUAGGACUGGGGUUGUAGGACACUAAGCAUGGAGUUACAAAAUUAUACUAUAGUUGAAGCUUCUGGAAAGAAGUCCCAUAGUAGGUGAUAGGCCUGUAAACGAAAUGGUGUAAUCUCCUUAGUGUAUCCUGAGUAAGUCGGGACACGUGAAAUCUUGACUGAAUCUGCGGGGACCAUCCCGUAAGGCUAAAUACUCUCUAAUGACCGAUAGUGAACAAGUACCGUGAGGGAAAGGUGAAAAGAACCCCGGGAGGGGAGUGAAAUAGAUACUGAAACCGUAUGCUUACAAAAAGUUCGAGCCCGUUAAUGGGUGAGAGCGUGCCUUUUGCAGAAUGAACCGGCGAGUUAUGGUAUCGUGCAAGGUUAAGCGGAAAACGUGGAGCCGAAGCGAAAGCGAGUCUUAAUAGGGCGCGAGUACGAUGCUAUAGACCCGAAACCAAGCGAUCUAUUCAUGAGCAGGUUGAAGUAAGGGUGAAACCUUAUGGAGGACCGAACCAACUUCUGAUGCAAUAGGAGUGGAUGACUUGUGAAUAGCGGAGAAAUUCCAGUCGAGCUUGGAAAUAGCUGGUUCUCCCCGAAAUAGGUUUAGGCCUAGCCUUCUAAUUAGCUACCUGGAGGUAAAGCACUGAAUAUGGAAGGGCCGCACCUAGCGGUACUAACUGUAAUCAAACUCUGAAUGCCAGGAUAGUAUGUAGAGGAGUCAGUGUAUGGGUGAUAACGUCCAUACGCGAAAGGAAAUGAAUCCAGACCGUCAGUUAAGGUCCCAAAAUUUAUGCUAAGUGGAAAACGAUGUGGAGCUGCUAGAACAGCUAGGAGGUUGGCUCAGAAGCAGCCACCCUUUAAAGAGUGCGUAAUAGCUCACUAGUCGAGUGGCUCUGCGCGGAAUAUGUACCGGGGCUAAGCAUAAUACCGAAACUGCGGAUUCGUAAUUUAUUACGGAUGGUAGGGGAGCGUUCUAUGGGCGCUGAAGGUAGACCGUGAGGACUACUGGAGCGCAUAGAAGUGAGAAUGCCGGUGUGAGUAACGUAAGGAGGGUGAGAAUCCCUCCCACCGAUCGACUAAGGUUUCCUGGGUAAAGUUCGUCUCCCCAGGGUAAGUCGGGACCUAAGGCGAGGCCGAAAGGCGUAGUCGAUGGACAACAGGUUUAUAUUCCUGUACCACCUAUAUGACUGAUGGAGUGACGGAGAAAGCUAAGCAGGGCCGGUUAUUGGAUUCCGGUCUAAGCACAAAGGUAGAUGAAAUAAGUAAAUCUGUUCAUUGUUAUGCUGAAGUGUGAUGGCGACGAAUUCCUCGGAAUUUUAAGUCUGCUGACGCUAUGCUUCCAAGAAAAGCUUCUAAAGAUAUUAUAUAGGUGCCCGUACCAAGAACCGACACAGGUGGUCAAGGAGAGAAUCCUAAGGUGAGCGAGAUAACUAUGGUUAAGGAACUCGGCAAAAUAACCCCGUAACUUCGGGAGAAGGGGAGGUUUCUUCGGAAACCCGCAGGAAAUAGGUCCAGGCAACUGUUUAGCAAAAACACAGGUCUCUGCUAAAGCGUAAGCUGAUGUAUAGGGGCUGACGCCUGCCCAGUGCUGGAAGGUUAAGAUGAUUUGUUAGGUGGACGAAAGUCGAUAACACCGAAGCUUUGAUUUGAAGCCCCAGUGAACGGCGGCGAUAACUAUAAUCGUCCAAAGGUAGCGAAAUUCCUUGUCAGGUAAGUUCUGACCCGCACGAAAGGCGUAAUGA